Molecule: ribosomal RNA, 896 nt
Filed under: Cosmetocleithrum sp. 8 IBC-2015
Lineage: Eukaryota; Metazoa; Platyhelminthes; Monogenea; Dactylogyridea; Ancylodiscoididae
Description: eukaryotic LSU rRNA
Rfam family: Eukaryotic large subunit ribosomal RNA
Source: RNAcentral
AGUAACGGCGAGUGAACGGAGAUUAGCCCAGCACCGAAGCCAAUUCGCGUUUGUGAAUAGGGCAAUGUGGUGUUAAGGCAUGCAUAUUUAAUUGAUUGUCUGCUCGAAGUCCAGCUCCGAUUAUGGCUAGACAUCUGUUCCAAAGAGGGUGAAAGGCCCGUUCGAGUAGAUUAUUGGUUAUCUCUGUGUAUGUCCUUGAGUCGGUUUGCUUGAGAAUGCAAACCAAAUUGGGUGGUAAACUCCAUCUAAGGCUAAAUACUGGCACGAGUCCGAUAGUAAACAAGUACCGUGAGGGAAAGUUGAAAAGUACUCUGAAGAGAGAGUAAAUAGUACGUGAAACCGACUGAAUGGAAGCUGGUGGAGUCAAACUCUUGCAAUGUGAAUUGGUGCGGAGUAUUUGCAAGGAUAUUCAACUUUGUUGUAUUUAAAUUGCUUGAUGGUUUGCCAUCAUGAGUAUCCCGGUGCGGGUGCUCAUCUAUGUUGUUAUAUCCUUACUCUUGUGCUAUUUCAUUAAGCAUAUGCCAAGGUCAGUAUACUCAUGAUCAAUGAUAGUCUAAUCGUGAAUUGGGAUGCAUUGUGCAUUCUGUUUACGUGACGGCAGGUAGCAGUUUUGGUAGCUUGCUAUUAAAACUUUGUAUAGUGGUUAAGACUUGCUGACUAUCCUUUUGUUAAUUUAUUGAGUAUAUUGUUUAUAUUAAAUUUUGAAUCAGCAUGGUUCUCUUUUAUAUAACUUUGGCUAGUAGCAGAUUUCCACCCGACCCGUCUUGAAACACGGACCAAGGAGUUUAACAUGUACACGAGUCGUCUGGUUAUUAAACCAAGUGGCGUAAUGAAAGUGAACGAUUGCUUUUCGUGACCUGUGUGUUAUCCCUGUGUGUCUUGAACUAGGCCAUAGG